RNAcentral lists this ribosomal RNA (253 nucleotides) under uncultured bacterium. RNAcentral's name for it is "partial 16S ribosomal RNA". It matches the Rfam family "Bacterial small subunit ribosomal RNA", at positions 524 to 776 of the family's 1533-position model. The record is from RNAcentral.
UACGUAGGGUGCAAGCGUUGUCCGGAAUUAUUGGGCGUAAAGAGCUCGUAGGCGGUUUGUCGCGUCGAAUGUGAAAACCCGGGGCUCAACUCCGGGCCUGCAUUCGAUACGGGCAGACUAGAGUUCGGUAGGGGAGACUGGAAUUCCUGGUGUAGCGGUGAAAUGCGCAGAUAUCGGGAGGAACACCAGUGGCGAAGGCGGUUACCUGGAGCUUUGCUGACGCUGAUGCGCGAAAGCGUGGGGAGCAAACAGG